This 5190-nucleotide long non-coding RNA is filed under the name Sus scrofa (pig). RNAcentral describes it as "lncRNA (ENSSSCG00050078618.1)". Lineage: Eukaryota; Metazoa; Chordata; Mammalia; Artiodactyla; Suidae. The record is from RNAcentral.
UAUAGUAUAGUAUAAAUGAUAUAUACUUAAUAUAUAACAUUUUGCAUGUGUGUGUAAUUAUAAACUGUAUUACAUAAAUGUAUGUAGUAAUAUCACCCGUAAUAUCACAUACUAUGUCACAAAUCAGACUGAAAGCCUCUUACGGUUGUUAAAAGUAUUGAAGUAUUUCAGCGAGACCUAGCCUGUGGUAAGCACUCGGUAGGUAUAAAAUUCAGUGUCGCAGUUGUCAGUUAAGGAGAACUGAGCAGUGCCUGGUGCCUGGCAAGUACUCCAGCAAUGCUAGCUUUUGCCAUUAUACUAGCCGAGUACCACAAUACUUAGAGCUUGUGCUCAGGAGGUGUUAAGUUUAUUGUAGAACAUUUAGUAAAUUUUAUUUGAGGUUUUUCUAAGCUAUAUAAUCAUACCAUCCACCCAUAAUGACAAUAUUGCCUUCUAUUUUCUUGUGUUUUUAAUUCCAAUUAUUGAUGUUAUUACGUUGUCUAAUGGUAUGGGACGUGGAACUUUCCGAGCAAAAUUAAAUAAUGGUGGUGAGAGUGGGCCGUUUUGCCCUUUCUGACUUUAUGAGCGUCGAGUUGUGCUCGCUGUUGGAUGCAUUCACACAAACGCUAUUAAGCCGGUGUCCUUUUAUACUAUUUGGCUAAAACCUUAAAUCAAAGAAGAACAACUAGGCAGGGACCCAGUACUCUCGAACGCCUUCCGGUCCCCGUGGAGGUGUCGGAGGUGUCGUCCCUCCCGACCAGCUGAUGGGAGAGUCGUGAUGGUCCCUCUCGCCGUGCUCAUCCUUUGGCUCCCUCCCUGAGACCCCCUUGCUAUGGUCGGGACCCCGCUGGGCACAAGUCAGCCCCUCCCUUACCUUGUAGAGAAGUAUGUCAGGCAUCUGGGUCAGGAGACAAAAUGUCAAUAUUCUUUGGGGAAGAACCAAAUGAGCUAGAAGCAAACCCAAGGUGACAACAUUCCUCUGAAUGUGACCGAGCGGUUGCACCAACUUUGCAAACCCAAACCCAAAUGCGAGAGAAAAUCUGUCCAAAUUCUUUAUUUGGAGGACAUGGACAGAAACAGACUCUCAAACCUCAUCUGAAUUUAAUGACCUAGAGAGAAAGUUUGCGUUUCAGAAGAUACACAGAGGCUUACCCGGAAAAGCUCUUGGCUUGAUCAUUUUUGUGGAUAAUUUAAUCCUAUGUCCAAAUUUAAAACUCCUAGUUGGAAAAAAAGGCGGGGGGAGAGGGGAUAUAAGUUAACUUUUCAUUUGUGGUAUAUAAUCUGUAAAACAAACCCUUUUUAUAUGGAAAGCAAUAGAAGACAGCUUUUCCUUUGAACACACAACGGGUUUCAUUGAGGCCGAACCUCCUCAAUGCACUUGUCACAGACACACCACAGGGACUUCAUGGUGUGUCUGCUACUCUUGCUGCUUAAUAAGAGUAAAACCCUUAAGGCAAAUGAUAAGCUACCAUUACAAUUUCAAUUUAUUGCUGAAACUAUUUUAAGGAUAUUUGAACCUCUAUAUGAAGAUAAUAGGAAAUGUUUAUAGUUGUGGAUAGAAGCAAUUACGGAAUUCUAUAUGGGGUAAUUUGUCAACUGAUUGUACAGUGAGCUAUAAUUUUAUGGGUAAAGGUUUAAUGCUUUGUUAUCUUGUAACUGUCAUUUUGAAUUUAACCUGUAUUACCUGCUAAUUUUUACAUUUCCAGUUACUAAUUAAGGCAAGGCCUCCUCUCUUUCAUGAAAUCUAUUCACUUCUGCACUGGAUUCUUUUUCCCAGAGACAAAUAAGAAUUAUUCUAGCUAUUUCAGUGACCAUAAUUUUCUUUUUUGAGAAGGCAAGGAAAGUGGAAUUUUUCCUUAAAGCUCUCUGUACCAGCCGUCUGAUUCCCCCCUCACCUUUUUUCCUUUGGAAGCCUCUAUUUCUUUGAUAUACGGCUUUUUAGUGGCCAAUCUAUUUGUGAACUGGUAUUUUAAAAGUUGGGGUUGAGUUCUCUGAUGGUCUAGCAGGUUAAGGCUCCUGCAUUUUCACCCCUGUAGCUCUGGCCGCUGCCGUGCGGCACAGGUUCUAUCCCUGGCCCUGGAACUUCCACAUGCUGCAGGUGUGGCAAAAAAGAACAAAACAAAAGAGAAAGCAUAUAAUAAAUGUCGCAACUCUCAUUUUUUAAAAAAGGUUUUGGUUUGAAAUUAAGGGGGAAAUACAUAGCAUCACAUUACCUGCAUAAAACCUCUAUCGAAGGGUUCAUCAACCGUAAGAAGCCUGAGACAUGGCAGUUCUGAGAGCCAUCAGAAAAAUUUUGUCACUGUGGAUUCUGCCACCAAAGGCUAUUUGAUCUUUGGGAAAGACAAAACAGAGGGAGAAAUAUUGAAUAACUAAAGAUUUACAAAUACAGAGUGGUUUAUAAUGAGUCUUCAGAUGUUUGCUAAACUCUAUUAAAUCAGAAAACCCCAAAGACCAGCGUUUAGAAGGCCCUCACUGGUCAGUUGUUAGCGCAGUGUCCAAGCAUCCCCAGUUUGCUAAUGAUCUAUAGGAUUUGAAAGCAAACGCCAGACAACCAGGGAAGGAAUGAUGAGACUACAUAAAAGCCUCCUUACCCUUUGCUUCCAGAGCUGUUUGGUAACCCCAACCCUGUGUGUGAUCUCGCAUUCCUCAGAGUCGUUCUUUCUUGAAACUCAGCUGAGUGGAGACCUUAUUUCCUUUGAGGUUCCCUGACCUUGGGGGACAAGGUCACGGUGCUCUUUUCCUUUGGCUGCUUUUCUCAGAAAAAGAGAAGAACCAGCUCUCGUUACUGGCCCAGGGAACCUCUGUUCCAGCAACUGCUAUCAAUUAUCCUCAGACUCGGACCUCGUCUUCAAAGCAGCAAAGCGUGUGUGUGGAGAAAUGGCCUUGGCAGCCGGACCACUGAUGAGUUCAUUAAUUUCCAGAGAAAAUGGAUGGAAGAGCCCCCCCCUCCUCCGUUUCUCCCGUCGUUUCACUCCCUAAGUCUUUGUGACUUUGCGAUGGGCAGGCUUCUGGGCUCCAUGGUCAAUGUCAUUUAUUCCAGGUCCUGAUAGGUGAGUCUUUCCAUCUUUCGCUCUCUUCCCAACCCCACCCUCGAGGGCUGCCUCCUCCCAGCCAGCAUCUUGACUCUUGUAUUUCUGUAGAACUCACUUGGGGAAGGAACGAAUCUGGGUGGAAGGCCGGAGACCACCUGCUAGCAGGUGACGAAGGUCCCUAAUUGCAGAAACGCAUUCGUGUCUCAGCACGGGCACUUGAAAGACUCGGGGGGCACCCGGCCGUCUCGGAUAGACCUCGUGACCUUCUGACUUAUCUUGGGGACCAUGAUGAUGACUUGGCUGGGUCCAUGGCAUGCAGAGGUUCCAGGGCCAGAGUCCUUAGCCCACGGAGCCACCAGGGAACUCCUACCUGGAUUAUGUAUUAGGUGGUCAUUUCACGGACUCAACUCUUCCUCUAGAAUGAGAGUUUUCCCGCCCGGUUCACUGCUGUUGCUCUGGUGCCGAGCACAGCAUUUGGUGGCUAACAUGUGUUCCGUAUAUACUGGAUAAAAUAGUCUGUGCUGUGACAAAGAGUGACAAUAUUUGUUUGGAAAACAUAGAGAAAUUACUCUUGACAGAUUGAUGCAGAGAGACGAUGAGAACACCAUGGCGAUAGAGAAUAAACCCGGAGGUUUAUAUUAAUAAUCCUCCUGCCUCAGCCCCACUGAGCCCCAUGUGAAUGCAAACCCAUUCUGGAAAUGCGUCUUGCCUUAGAAACGGCUCCAUGAGGACAGGAGCCCGGUCACUGUCGUCUGGUCCAGCACCGUCUGCAGGAGGCACUGGAUGAGUCUGUGAUGGAGAAAGCGUUUCCUAAACAGCGCGUUGGCUGUCAUUCAGCAGCAUCGCUGUGUUUACUUCCAGUCCAAUAAUUUUGGGUGGGUUUUGGGGGUUUUGUUUUUUGUGGGUUUUUUUUUUUUUUUGAAUCAAGUGUCUUGGGGCAGAAUUUAAAAUCGCAGGCUGGCGUCCCUGUCAUGGCUCAGUGGUAGUGAAUCCCACUAGUAUCCACAAGGACGCAGUUUUGAUGCCUGGCCUCGCUCAGUGGGUUCAGGAUCCCUCACUGCUGUGAGCUGCAGUGUGGGUCCCAGAUGCAGCUAGGAUCCGGCAUUGCUGUGGCUGUGAUGUAGGCUGGCAGCUGCAGUUCCUCUUCGACCUUUCGUCUGGGAGCUUCCAUAUGCCGCAGGUGUGGUCCUAAAAAGACAAGUAAAACUUACUUAAAAAAUAAAUAAAAUAAAAUCACAGGCUGUGGAGCCUGAUACCUGGAUUUUUAAAAAGUUAUUAUUUGUUUUAAUGGCCACACCCAAAGCAUAUGGAAGUUCUGGGGCCAGGGAUCGAGUACGAGCUGCAGCUGCGGCUAACACCACACCUGGGGCAGUGUGGGAUCCUUUAGCCCACAGUGCCCAGCGAGGGAUUAGAACCUGCGCCUCUGCAGCACCCUGAGCAACUGUGGUUGGACUCUUAAUCCACCGCGAGCUGACAGUGAACUCCCUGAUUACCUGGCUUUAAAUCCCGGCUCUGGGUGAGCGUUGACCCAGGAAGUUGUUCCUCGGGUUCCGCAGCUGGAAGACACGGAUAACAGCCCUUGGAGUUAUUCCUUGUAAAGCACCGGACGAGGUCAAGCAGGUGGCAGGCCCUCAAGCAGCCUCGUAGCUCUUCCUUUUGUCAUGAACUUGUCAAACCUCUCGUGGUCCACGGAUGCGAUUACACGGAAUUCGUGUCGGUCCUUGUCUGCAGUGGGCCCCCCCCCCCACCAGCGGGCGUUUUUUAAACUUUUAAUCUUGAGAUUAGGACUCUUUUUUUUUCUUGUUUUUACAAUGUUGAUACAAAUGAGAGGGCGAGGGGAUGUAGCGCGUGGCGGUGACAGUGCCGCCUACGAUCAUCCCAUCAUCCCUACAGUGACACAGGGGGCAUAGUCUCCUCCUACCGCCGACAGCGCUGCAUCGCGUAUUUGAAAUCUGCUGGAGUUCCCGUCGUGGCGCAGUGGUUAACGAAUCCGACUGGGAACCACGAGGCUGCGGGUUCGGUCCCUGCCCUUGCUCAGUGGGUUAACGAUCCGGCGUUGCCGUGAGCUGUGGUGUAGGUUGCAGACGCGGCUUGGAUCCCACGUUGCUGUGGCUCUGGCCUAGGCCGGUGGCUACAGCUCUGAUUCAACCCCUAGCCUGGGAACCUCCAUAUGCCGCGG